Long non-coding RNA from Pseudopipra pipra, 520 nucleotides. RefSeq lists it as uncharacterized. Lineage: Eukaryota; Metazoa; Chordata; Aves; Passeriformes; Pipridae. The record is from RefSeq and is a predicted model, not a curated record. The transcript is spliced from 3 exons.
AGAGAAUGUGUGCAGCCUGAGAGGGCGAGAGCCACCUGCCAGUUAGGUUUGAUGGUCUUCAUCUGUCCUUGUACGGCACACGGUGACGGCAGCAGCCUCCGACUGGGGUCGGAGCCAGUGGCCCGAGAACCUCUCAGCUCAGGGGACGCAACCGAGUCAGGGAUCACAGGACCCUCUGAGCCAGCCGGGCGUCCUUCCUUCACAUUGAAGAUGGAUUCACAUCCCCAGCUGUGGGAAAGAUAAGUGGAGGACUCCCACCUGGAGAGGGGAUGAGAGCUGGGUCCAGUUUUAUGUUUAGGAGGGAGGGAUUUUCAGAUGAGCACAGGAGAAAGGGUCUGCCCUAACAGGCCCUUGACACACAUAGGAGGAGCAGUUUACUUUUCAUCAUGGAGUAGGAUGUGCAGGGCAGAGCUGUUCAGGUCUGUGUCGUGUCCUUUGUCCAGUCUGUGUUUCGUGUCUUACUAUUCACAGUCACCACAUCUUUGCUUUCUGUCCUCAAAGUUCUUAUCUGAGGCAUCAU